Molecule: long non-coding RNA, 366 nt
Filed under: Chloebia gouldiae (Gouldian finch)
Lineage: Eukaryota; Metazoa; Chordata; Aves; Passeriformes; Passeridae
Description: Erythrura gouldiae (Gouldian finch) lncRNA (ENSEGOG00005006337.1)
Source: RNAcentral
CGGCACGGGGCAGGUGCUCGGCAGGGCCUGAGUAGUGUGCGGGGCUCCCGGGACCGGGGCCGCGCUGUGCGCUGUCUGGUUCUUCUGAAUCGGCGUGUGUUGGCUCCUCCUCCGCUGCAUCUUUCCCAGCCCUAAAUCCCGGGAUUUCAACGCUGGCAGGCCUUGGGAAUCAGCCCCUCGGCUGGCAGCAAGGCAGAGCGGGUGUUCCGAGCACCCCGGCAGAGUUGUAGAAGGAAAAUAAGGCUGAGGAGAAUGAAGCACCUGCUGCAGGAGAUGAGCUUUUUUAGACAUGACAGUAUCCUGAGUCCAGAAUCGUUCCAUUCUCUACAAACAGUCAUGCAGAGACUUAAUUUUCAAAUAAGAUAA